AGAACGAACGCUGGCGGCAGGCCUCAAACAUGCAAGUCUAGGGGGCGUAGCAAUACGUCACCGGCGGACGGGUGCGUAACACGUGGGAAUGUACUUAUUGGUUCGGAACAACUCAGGGAAACUUGAGCUAAUACCGAAUGUGCCCGAAAGGGGAAAGAUUUAUCGCCAGUAAAUCAGCCCGCGUCCGAUUAGCUAGUUGGUGGGGUAAAGGCUCACCAAGGCAACGAUCGGUAGCUGUUCUGAGAGGAAGAUCAGCCACACUGGGACUGAGACACGGCCCAGACUCCUACGGGAGGCAGCAGUUGGGAAUCUUGGACAAUGGGGGAAACCCUGAUCCAGCCAUGCCGCGUGAGUGAUGAAGGCCUUCGGGUUGUAAACUCUUUCGACGGGGACGAUAAUGACGGUACCCGUAGAAGAAGCUCCGGCUAACUUCGUGCCAGCAGCCGC
This 447-nucleotide ribosomal RNA is filed under the name uncultured bacterium. Its description in RNAcentral is "SSU rRNA". It matches the Rfam family "Bacterial small subunit ribosomal RNA", at positions 26 to 518 of the family's 1533-position model. The record is from RNAcentral.